GACGAACCGUGCGAACGUUAAUCGGAUUCAUUGGGCUUAAAGGGCGCGUAGGCGGCGGCGUAAGUUCGUGGGGAAAUCCCAUCGGCUCAACCGUGGAAUUGCUUCGAAUACUGCGUCGCUCGAGGGAGAUAGGGGACCGCAGAACUGCCGGUGGAGCGGUGAAAUGUGUUGAUAUCGGCGGGAAUGCCAGUGCCGAAAGGGGCGGUCUGGACCUCUUCUGACGCUGAGGCGCGAAAGCUAGGGGAGCGAACGGG
RNAcentral lists this ribosomal RNA (254 nucleotides) under uncultured bacterium. RNAcentral's name for it is "partial 16S ribosomal RNA". It matches the Rfam family "Bacterial small subunit ribosomal RNA", at positions 524 to 776 of the family's 1533-position model. The record is from RNAcentral.